RNAcentral lists this long non-coding RNA (32395 nucleotides) under Chlamydomonas reinhardtii. Its description in RNAcentral is "long non-coding RNA (CREI_LNC000140)". The record is from RNAcentral. Lineage: Eukaryota; Viridiplantae; Chlorophyta; Chlorophyceae; Chlamydomonadales; Chlamydomonadaceae.
GGCUUGCGGCUGCUGCGGUCCCUCCGCCAAACUCACACACAGUCCCGCGGAAAAACAUGUGUGGACACGAUUUUGCCCCACUCCAGGCCGGCGUCAUACCCGUGUGCGCCAUACCCGUGUGCGGGCAACCGGCAACCUUCCAAUCCAGGUGCUGGUCCCCUCGCUCGCCAGCAAACACAUCAACCCGUUUUGACCUCGUCCCAAACACGCACAAGGCCGCGCCCUACCCAGCUCACAUGACGACCGCCUGCAGGAACUGCUCCGCAUCCCGCUCCGUUAGGCUCAGCCCUACCACCACGCGCGUGUGCGAGUCUUGAGUGCCCUCGCCCGCAACCCCUGCAUGAGCGUGGCCGCCCGGCACCGCUGCAGCCCCUGCCACCCCGGCCGCACUGCCAGCAUCCGCCCCGGCCAGACCUGGACUACCUGCACUUGUGCCAGCUCCCUGGAUGCUACCGGCGCCGCGCCCUGGCGUCCCGUUAGCCCAGCUAGCACUUGGCCCAGCGCCGGCACUGCUGCCUGCGGCUGCUUCGGUUGCUGUGGCAGAGCCUGCGGCCGGUCUGGGCGCCCGGCCCUUGCGUGCACGGGCGCGCUCUACCUCGCGCUUCACCGGGGCCACCACCUCCUCCACCUCGUCACUGCCGUCCUCCUUCCCGUCCUUGUCCCCAGCAGCUGCUUCCGCCUCCGGCCCCUCCAGCAGCAGCUGACCGCCCGCCGCCACCGCCCCAUGCUGCUGCCCCGCGCGCUGGUCCGCCGGCUCCUCACGGAUGGUUGCGCGCACCACCCGCGGCGCCUGCUUCUUGCUGUUGGGCCCGCCACCACCGCCGCCGCGCAGCACGGUGUCGAACAACUUGCGCAGCACCGGUAGCACCGCGCCUGGGGAGCAGGGUCAACGGACAGGUGUCGACAAUUAUGGUAAUACCGGCGGGCAGAAGCCACCAUCACCCGUUGCCAACCCGUCCAACCACCCCCGUAAAGCCGGUGGGCACGUUUGAUUGCUUAACGACUACCCACCGGUGACCAGAUGCAGCCGGUAGAACCGAGAGCCGUAGUUGCAUCGGCCGUCCCGCUUGCGGCGCACGCACUCGCCGCCGUGCAGGCAGCCGGUGUCCAGGUAGGCGUACCAGAAGGCCCAGUGCAGCUCCGCGGUCUGGGAGGAGGUGGCGGUGGUGGUGGCCAUUGGCAGGGGGUUGCCGGCAGGGGGUUGCUGGUGGAGGCAACAUUACUGACGGGUCAUGACCAUCCAGCCUUACUAGUUUUUUUUUGAGGAGUCAUCCUUACAAGGUUGAACUAGUAACAGCAGCACGCUCCAAGCGGUUCCCACGGGGCCUAGUCGUUGGUGGCAGGCACAUCGUCGUCCUGCUCCUGCACCCUCUACCUUUCGCCAUCCUCCUCCCCCGCUCACGCGCCCUCUCUCACCUGCUCGUCCACCUUGCGGUACUUGUCCUCCAGCUCGUGCAGCGUGAACAUGUAGCCCUUCACCUGGCCAGGGAGGGGGCAGGAGGAGAGAAUGGUUACAGGGCAGGGGUUUGGGACUGCGGGUGGGUAUGGGCGCACGCGCAGUCCACCAGGGAGCACAUGACACGCCUUCAGUCACCAAGCGGAGACUGGAAAAAGCACGCUCCAGGCCCAGCUUUCCCAGCCUCAAGACGUCCUGUCUAGUCCCGUCUUUUAUUCCCCAGCCCAUGUAUCCCAACCGCCCUCUCAACUCCGCAGCGCCAACCCCGGCCCCAGCCCCACGCACCUGGUUAGGGCGCUGGAUCCUGAAGCGCUGCGCCAGCCUGCUGCCCAGCACGGUCUGGCGCAUGGCGGUGGCCAGCACCACCAGCGGGUGCCCGGUGCCGCCCACGUUGGCGUUCCGGCGCGCCACGUAGAAACCCACCUGUGGCCAUGACCAGUCGCAGGAAGAGCAGGGCAAGUGUGAACACUUGACAGAAAGGCGGGCGAAGGCGCAGGCGCAAUGACCCAUGGUGUGCGCAUGAUGCCAUGACAGCCGACACGAGCGUCAGAGCAGUGGGGCACAGCGUUCCGCAGGGCCUCGCACACCAUGCCAGAUGUGGUUGAAGCUACAAGGCAAGGAUGAACAACGCACUGCGGUUCCCGCCUCCGCACCUUGUUCACGAUGCGCGCAGGCGCCCGCUCCGCUGCCAUGUCUUCCCGCGCCGCCGCCAGCGCCGCACACGCCGCCGGCCACGACAGCCCGUCGUCCACAUCUAACUCCAUGUAGUGCGUGGUGGCGCCUUUGUGGAGGUCAGGAUGGACGGCAGGUGGCGGCAUUUGAUGAACGACAAAAGCUGAUCAGGGGGUAUAUCCCCCCAUCCGCCCACUCCACCUCCCGCCCGCCCGCCUGGCCCACCCCACCUGACGGCGUGUCCACGUGCACCUGGUGCUGCGCCACCACCUUGACGGCGCUGUGCCCGAUGUUCACAAUGGCCUCGUCGUAGUCGCCGGCGGAACGGGCCUGAGAGGACACGUGUGUUUGUUUGCGGGCGUGUUUAUAUUUGGGCAGCAGGACAGAGUGCUUGCAGCGGGUCGCGAACGGUUGGGUACUUGUACCGUAUGUACGGCCCUUACGCUUCACCCUCUCCCACGCCCUGCCCACCUGCUUGACCAGCGAGUCCAUGAUGCCCAGGAAGUACCCGAACAGCAGCUCCUGGUCCCGCAGCGGCAAGCCCAGCAGCCGGUUCAGGAACUUGGGGACGCCCGUGGCCUGGGCGGUGAUGGAGCGGGGCGAAAUCGGAACGUUGGGCAGAGACCGUGGGAGACCCCUCUCACACACCACAUAUGCCCACCUGGUCCUUGCGCUCCACGCUGUACGCCACGUGACCGCCGGGGCUGUGCAUGUUGGUGGGGGCAAAGCAGCUCAGAGGCGCUCAAGAUUUUAGGGCAUGGGCAUUUGAUGGUGUGAUGCAGUGGCGAGCAGGUUGCUUUCAUCCUGUUGCGUAAUCCUAGACAGAACAGGUUCCCCGCUCCUCCCGCUCGGGACUCACAGGCUGGUGGCUGCCAGCAGUCCCAUGCUCCGCAGGCAGCGCUGCAUGUGGGCCAGGAAGGCGCGCUGACGGGCCGCGCUGCCCGGCGGCGUGGCGGCCACGUCUGGGGGCAGCAGCUCGGAAGGCAGCUCGCCAGGCUGCGGAGGGAGCGGGGGGCGGUAAUUGGCGUGGCAUUCUGGCCCUGCACCCAUGUCUUUGCAGCAUGUAAUACCCAAGUCCACGAAGGGCAUACUGCUCGUUACCUUCUCCCCUCCACACACAUACCUUGCUUCCCGCCACGGUGUGCACCCCGCUGGCCACGCACUCCAGUACCCGCUGCACAGCCGCCUCGCCGUAUCUGUGUGUACAUUUGUGUUGCAUGUGUACCGCAGGGCAAAAAGAAAGAUGACAAACGCCGACUGUAUGCAUAAUCCCGUCAGUGUAGCGGAGCAAGCAGGCAUCGGCGCAAAUGCUGAGCAGGGCAGUACCGCAGUGUACCGGCGCAGGAGGCACACGUGCCAUGUCCGUGGCGCACAUACCCUUGCGUGCACCCCCAACUGCAUGCCUGAUGCCACCUCCCUCCCGCCGCCGCGCACCUGUUGUCGACGUCGUAGGGCUUGAGGUCGGAGCUGGCGCCCAGCGCGCGGCGGUCGCCCCGCAGCAGCGCGCCCAGGGACGUGAGGCGCUUGGCCACUGCGCCCGCAAACCUGAGGGCACAUGGAGCGUAAGGUGCGGGGUGCGAGUUGUUGAGAAGAUGUUGAACACCACUCCUUAGGAGUACACGUGAUGCCAUGCGCGUAGAAACGCGACGGACGCAAAGCGCGGCCAAGGAGGGCGCCUGUGGGCCGGGGUUCCAAGCGAGUUACACUCCAGGAAAAGGCGGGUCCCCAGGGACGCCCAAUUUUGAGGCCCGUUCAGUUCUGGCUCAAUCGCAAGGCAGGCUGCUACCUAUACCUGUGGCUCGUGCUUGACGUGCUAUGUUCGAAGUCAUGGUCUUGCCUAAUCAUUCAGCUGCAAAGCGUAGCCCGUGCCGCCCAAUUGCCGCAUGUGACGUGUCCCGGCGAACGCGACAACUAGAACGUCGACUUCAGCCCCGGUCCAGUUUAAUGCCCCGGACCUAUCUUAGUGACCGAUGUAUGCAACCAAGUGCUACACAAAUGGUUACGGACUGGGAAUACGAGCGGUCCCUAGGGCCGUGGCGACGACCUGGGCCGCAGGAGGGCUCAGUGAAAUGGUGGCGCAGCUAGGGCGGACCUGGGUUGAGACUGCAAUCAUACAUGACCGCUCACCUGUAUUCGCCGCCGCACUUGGUGACCAGCAAGCAGUACUCCGGCGCCGAUGCCUGCGUAGGGGAGACGGAACGAAGGGAGGCGAGGGGAGCGGGUGGCACACCAGAGGGCUAGGGAUCGCACCAAGCGGACGGAACCGGUCCGCGAUGUGCUUAAAAGCGCAUGGCCAUACGGUAGCAGGCCGGGGCCGGGCCGCUACACCCACCCACCUGGUUGGAGCGGUGUGAGCGCCCGAACUGUUGGAUGGCCUGUGAAAGCGGAAGGCACGACCGCAGGAGGGAGAGUCGGGCUGCUGUGCAGACCUGGGUAAGUCUGCGAGCCGUAUCUAUCCAAGGCCACGGCCCCGUAUCACGCACCAGGAGGCCCAGAGCCCCGACUCCACCAGUCCCGCUGUGCGAGCCCCCCUGCCCCACCUUGUCCGCCGACCAGGGGAGUUCCAGCGUAACGUGGAAGCGCCGCCGCUGGUUCGCCACCCUGCAAGCAAGCACGCGCGCCACGAGCGGAAGGGCGAUGUGCAAAUCGGCACGACUUCAGGAAGGUGCAGGCGAAAGGUGAAGAGCGUAUGUGUGCAUGCUCACCAUGCCACACUUUCCGAGGCACGGCAUGUACACAACACGAAAUCAGGCAGAGCACAGGCUCCACCUACCAAACUCCAUGACAUCCGUCCGUUUGCGUCAACUUGGCAAAUGACAACUUGUAAUGCCCCGAAGCCCUCAGCCUUGCCGUUCUGCGCCCCGAGAGCCCCCGAGGCGACAUUUAUCGCCGGCGCCGCUCGCCCUGCUGCUCCGCGACGCCUCGGCCCACAUCCCAUAAGUAUUAUCGCUCGCAACUAACGCCUCUGCCUGCACUCCAGUUUUCGUUGGUUUGGGGUUUAGUUUGGGCUGGUAUUUACAACCCCACCUGCGGUCCGCCUGCAGACUGAUGCCGGUGGACGCCGCGUCGCUGAUCACCGCCACCAGCUUGCGGCCGCUCAUGAAGUCUUCCUUCUCCGCCAUGUUAACCAUCUUCUGGGCCUCGUCGUCGCGGCGUUGCUGUUGCCGGCCAAUGUGGAGGAAGCGACGGCGGAGCGGGGAGUUGGGAUAAGGCGAAAAUGGUCAGUGGAGGGAAGUGAGCCAGCCAACUAAAAUCCCCCGCGAGAAGGCGGCCCUAGCCAGCAGUUGCACACAAUAGUCGUGCCGUUGACUUGAUGUUCAGCUAACCAUCGCAAACCCAAGCCGUACCGUACGAGCCAUGUCCACCCCGUAACACUCGUGCGACCCUCGAGACAAAGUAUUUGAUCGGAAUACUCGUGAACCGGCUAGAGCUAUCCGCCCUAUCCCACCUGCACCCGCCGGCCGUGCCACUCACCACGCACACCACGCGGCCGGUCUCCUCGUCUCGGACCUGCGCCACCUUGCGCCCCGUCAUCUCCGCCACAGCCUCGGGGCCGCCCAGCAGCUCCAGCAGCUGGUCCAGAGGGUUCAGAGGAAGCUGCAGCAGAUGGGGCAAGCGGGGGCGAAGCCGGGUGUACAGGAAUGAAGAGCGAACCGGGACACUGGGCACAGCAUAUAGGUGUCAAGUUGCGGAAUGUGAGCAAGCAGUGUCGAUCCGUCCGGGCCACAUCUGCAUCCACACCCGCGUCGUUAGCAAUGCCAUCAGCCGCCACCACCGCUCACCUCCUGCGCAUCCAGCAGCCGCAGCAGCAUGGCCCGGCACUUGCGCAGCUCCGGCGGCAGUGCCGCGCCGCCCGCCUCCUGACCUCCUGCUUCCCCACCUGGACCGCCACGGCCCCGCGUGCGCCGCCGCUCCCGCAUGCGCUCGUCCUCCUCGUCAAUCAGCUCUACGCCGCCGUCACUGUGGUCAGCCUCGCCCUCACCGCCGCCUUCCUCCCCGCCCUCCGUCACCAGCGACACGCUGCUGUCGUCCGAGUCGUCAUCAGAGUCGGAGGAGCCCUCGUCAGAGUCAUCAUCAUCAGGGCCGCUGCUAUCGCCAGCGCCUGCCGUACGCCGCUUCUGGUGGCGAACGUUGCCCUUCACACCUUGCGUCUUGCCCUUGCCCUUGCCGCCGGCGACCUUUUUGCUCUGGCCUUUGCAGCGGCUGCCUCCGCCUUCAGCGGCAGCAGCUCCGCUGUCGUCACCGCCGCCACCCGGCGCGGCCCAGCUUCCAGGCAGCUUCCCCAACGGCUUGGCUUUCGCGGCGUGACGGUACUUGGUUGGGUCGGGCUGGCGGGCCAAGCGCUGGGCCUCAGCCGCUGCCGCGUCCUCAUCACUAGCCGCAUCCUCCUCCUCGGAGCUGCUGCUGCCACUGCUGCUGCUGCUGCUGCCACUGCUGCUGCUGCUGGCUGCCUCCGACUCCGACUCCGAAACCUCCUCCUCGGAGCCGUCAUCGUCUUCAUCAGAGGCGCUGCUACUGCUGUUGAUGCUGCCAGCGGCCGCCUGCUUCUUGCCCCGCCCUCUCCCCGUGGCCUUCGCCUUGCCCCCGCGGGCGUGCUUGGCUGCCCGCUUUCUCCCAUUCGCCUUGUCCUUGCCCUCAUCCACCUGCUCCUCCUCUUCUUCCGAGCUCUCCUCCUCGUCGUCCGCGGUGACGCUGCGGCUGCGGGUGCGGCCACGGCGGCCACCGUUCGCUGCCGCAGCUGCGGCUGCCGCAAGCGCACGGGUGAAAUGCUCCAGGUCGCGCUCCGCGGCGGCGGCGCGAGUCGCCGCGUCCUUCAGCCGCUGCCGCACUAUGCGCAGCUGCAUGCGAAUCUGGUCGGGAUGAUGAGAAUGAGCGCGGGCGCAGGGGCAACGACGCGGCGCGGCGCGGAGUAAGUUGUUUAGCGGGCAGUGCCGGCGCGCGGAAUAGAUACGGUUGUGAACGACAAAAGGCAAUGGUUGUGGCCGCCCAUCAACGUUCACUUGCUUUUGUACAUAAACCGCAAAAGGCGGGUAAUCGGUGUGCCUUCGCUGGACUGCAAGUCAUACAAUCCGCUGUACGCGCAGCCGAUGCACGACCGUUCUUCCUUACCUUACCCACGGCCAGGUUCGCAGUGGGGCCAGCGGGUGCGCCGCCCUUGGCCGCCGCAGCAGCGUCCUCGUCCUCAUCCUUGCCCUCGCCCGCAGCAGAGCUGGCUUCAGCCUCGCUCGCCUCCUCGCCGUCCGCAGACGGCGUGCCGGCACGCCCCCGCCGCGCCGACGCACUGGUGCCGCGCCACUGCCCUCUCCCCUUGCCGGUCAUCCCGGCGCGCAAACCUCUCGCGCAACCACCAGCACUGGCGCCGGCACCGCCUCUCACUCUUACUUGCACGGCGCCUUUCGUCAGCCGCCCACCGCGCUUGCCGCGAGGUGGCAAUGCCCCCGCCUCCUCCUGCUCCUCCCCACUCGCUGUGGCGUGGCUGCUGGUGCGGCACUCCAACCCCUCCUCAUCCUCCUUCGCGCCCCCAUCCGCUUCCGUGUUCAACUCCAUCGCAGAAGCCUGCCGCCUGCCACCACCCGCCGCCGCCGACUUGCCGCUGCUAGGCUCACCGUUUGCCCGGGCGCCGGUGGCUGCGGCGAAGGACUCCAGUACCGUCUUUAGGCGCUUUGGUUGGCGGGCUUGAUUUGCGCCGGCGCCACCCUCCUCUUUGGAGUCACCGUCCUGAAGCGGGCCCUGCUGGACUGGCCCCGCUGUUCCGGCUGCAGCCGCCAGCCCUGUCGCGGCCUGCUCCCCCCCGUCGCCCGCCUUGCGCUUCACGCCAGCGGAGGUGGAUGGGGCCGCUGCUGGUGCGGCUGCCGCAGCAGCUCCUGCAGCGGCCGCCUGGGCCACAUCUGAGGCAGUGCACUUGGGGCAGUGCCAGUCAUCGUCCGGAAUUUCCUAUGAAUGCACGUGUGGAAUUAUGGGGAGGUUGUAAAUACCAGCCCAAACCAAGCGAAACUAGCGGAGCACAGGCAUAUGCGAAAGAUGGAGGGUGAUGAAGGGAAGGAGCGAUGGCAGCCAGCGCACUACGAAUGCCCCUGCGCCGCGAAAGCCCACACACGACUCCAAUCCCAGGCAAAUCACAAAUCCAUUCACGCGCCCUUACCUCCAGUGGCGGGUCCAGGCAGGCCAUGUGGUAGCCCGCAUCACACGUGUCGCACAGCAGGAUGCUGGCGGGGUCAUCACCGCCGCCGCAUCGCGCGCAAAGCGUGUCGUCGUAGCCCUCAUCCUCGUCCUCAUCUUCAUCUGCACAGUCAUCACCAGCCUCAGCUGCCGUUCCCGCCUCCGAGGCCUCGGCACCGUCGUCUUCGUCUGCGCCUUCGCCUUCCGCCUCCUCCUGCGCAUGCACCGAACGCCAGUCGUCGAUAUGGCAUUGACCAAUUACACACGGCGACCACCCCAUCGCCUAGCCAGCUGACGCGCACCCCUCCACAUACCUCGGCCUUGUCGCGCCUCCGCGCCUUUUCCGACGUCUUCGCCUGCGCUGCUGCCUCGGCCUGCCGCGCCGUAUCCGGCGCCGCCCGCGCACCGCCCCCUGGCUGCUGCUCCUGCGCCCCCUGUGGCCCUGGCUGCCCUGGCUCCGCCUGCGGAGGCGGUGGCUGCUCGGCGUCUUCCUUCAGCUCUGUGGCGGGCUGGUACUCGGACUCGUCGGGGUUGGAGAUUUCUUCACCGAUGCUGCUCACGUCAUCGUCUUGGUCGCCAUCGCCAGCAGCAUCAGCUGCAGCGCCGUCCCCGGCAGCUGCCAGUUCAGCGGCGGCAGGGGCUCCCUGCGCCACCGCCCGUCCAGAUGGCUGCUGCUCGUGCUGCAGGCCUGCAGCGGCUGCUGGGGGCAUGCCGGACCCGGCGCCCGUGCCCGCGUCCUCGUCCUGUGGUGCGGGACAAGUGGUCAUCUGCCAAUCAAGCCCACAGGCAUAGCCCUUGACAUACGGAUGCAGAGCAAAGCGCGAACUGGCAGCUGCCGGCAACACACAGUCACCUCCAGUCAUGCCCAUGUACAUGCCACUCACCUCUGAGCUGUCAUCAAUGAUGAUAACCGAGUCCGACUCCGCCUCAGCCGCCGGGCCCGCAGCAGCACCGUCAGCAGCAGGCUUUGCGGCCCGCUUCAAUGCCCCUGCCUCCAACUUCACAGCCGCACCCGCCUUGGCCGGAGGCGCUGAUGGCCCUCGUGGCGGCUUCGGCGGAAUCGGCUCACCACGGUUGAUGGCGUCAAUGCGAGCCGCCGCCAUCUGCGCCGCACGGCGCGGCCGCAGGGCUCCGUCGGCCGCUGGGGCCUGGUCAGCGCCCUCUGCAGAACAGAAUAGGAGUUGCCAGCACCUCACAUAGAAACAACGAAGCGUGUCAGUUGGCAGUGUCAACAAACGGCAAGGAGCAAGGAAGCAUUUGUGUUUCGCACGGCGCCCUCACCUGCAUACACGGUUGAGUCGGUUGAGGCCGUCAUCGCUACGUUGCCCAUCUUGCUCUUGGAUGCAACCUUGGCACCGAUGGCCUUGGGCGCUGGUUUCUUGGAGGCGGCCGACUUUGAGGCGGGAUUUCCCUCGACUUUGGUGGCACCCAGCUCCGUAUCCUCGUCCUCGUCUUCAUCGACCACGGCGGCGCCGCGCCUACAGGCAGAUUUGUGCGGGAAUGUAGCAAGUUGGGCUGAGCGUGGUGGUGACUGGUCGCAAAGGAUCGGUGCCACGGUCGCGGAUCAAGUGGGGUGGUUGAAAACAGCACGGCAGUGCGCUAAUGACGGUCCGAGCGCACCUGCGGCCCUUCGCUGGCGCGGUCUUGGCACCUCUUCCGCUGGGACCCGCCGCGCCGCCGGUCUCGCGCCGGGCUGCGAACAUGAGCGAAUGAUACCGCACCGUCACGAACACGUCACCACCGACCAAAUAAUGGCAUAUGGGGCCGCGAGGGCCGCGGUUCAUGUCCUCCAGCAGUGCACUCCCUCACGCACCUGUCGUCAUUCACCUACCUCGCACGUGACGCGCCUCCUCCUUCUUGUCCUCAUCCCCAUCGCUCACAUCAUCUUCCAGGUGCGCCUCGCCAUCAAUUGUGCUGCCGCCACGGCUGCCUGGCUUGCCGCCUCCCUCCUUGUCAGCCUUGCCCCGCCCCGCGCCUCCCGCCGCCACUUGUGCUGCUGCUGCUGCCGUGCCAGCUGCAACAGCAGUUGCAGGGGCGGGCAAGCCACCACGCGAGUUGGCGCCGGCUGCUGCCGUCUCCUCUGCGGCCUCCAGCUCCUUCACCUGCUUCUGCAGGUCCUCCAGCAGCGAGCGAGCCUCAGCCUGGGGACAGGGAGAGAAGCAUACGGUCAGGCACAAGAUGGCAAUAAGCGGAGGCGCUGACACAAGCGUUAGGCGCAGUGGCGCACACGCAUUGGGUCAGCAACACGCGGCGCCCGAGCGGCACGGGCAACAUCUGAGCCCGACACAUGCCCCAGCGCCCAGGCCGUAGAGUGUAUUCGCUACCCUCGUCCUGUCCUGUCCUCUACCCACCAGCGCGGUCUGCAGCUUGGCCCGGCGCUCCUCCUGCCGCCGCGUCUCCGCCGCCGCCGCCGCAGCCAUUUCCUCCGCGUCCGCCUGCUCCAGCAGCCGCCGCCACUCUGCAUCUCGCUGUGCGCGCAUGCUCUGCACCGCGCCGCCCGCUGCUCCGGCUGAGCCGUAUGCUCCGGCGCCAGCGGCUGCCCCCCCGGCUCCACCAGCCCCUGCUGCCGCCUCGUCAUCGGUGUCAUCGGCCAGGUCAAUGAGGUCUCCGGCCAGGAUGGCCAGGCGCCGGCGUUCCUGUAGAGGCAGUGCAGGGGUUUGGACAGGGGAAUGUAGCUUGCAGACGUGGCAAUCAUGCAUCCGUGUUUGACACAUGAAAGCACCUACCCUCUACCCGCCACUCACCGCCAGCACUUGGUCCAGGGAGCGCUCGCCCUCCAUGACCACAUCGUCCGCGUCAGACUCGUGCGCUGGCGGCUGCGGUUUCCGACCGGCAGCGCCGCCAGCGGCAGCACCAGCACCCGUGUCCUCGGCUACAUCGCUAGCGGGCGUGCCAAUGCCAUCAGUUGCGCCGACGUCUGCCAUCUCCACAUCCCCGCUGCCGGCCCGUGCCGCUGCCACCACGCCGCCUCCCUGAUCGUCUACAUCCAUGGCGUCAGGCGCCUGCUCCUGCAUCCGGGCCGGAGCCGUCUCCGCCUCCCUUUCGGCCGCCUCGUCCUCGUCGUACCGCGGCCGUCGCCCCAGUCGCCGCGCCGCGCCGUAGGCGGACGUGGCCGCCUCGGCCGUGCCUGCACCCACCCCCACGGCGGCGGCAGUGGGCGAGGUGCCGGCGGCGGCCGCGGCGGCUGCGGCGGUGCGCUGCUCGCGGACAAGCCGGGCGGCCUCCAUUGCGGCCAGCUGUGGGGCAAGGAAGGAAGAUGUUUCCGUCCAUACCUCAACACACGUGCGCGGGGCUCAGACCGGACGAGACCGUAUGCACCGCUCCUGCUUUCUAAGCCCCUCUGCCCCACAGCCAUCAGCGCUCACGUAGCGGCAACCAUGCCACCAAGCGGCCUGCCGCUCACCCGCUUCUCCUGCUUGACCAUCUUCAUCGCCUCCUCCUCGCAGGAAGGCAGCUGCCGCCACUCCACACACACGCGAUAGAUCUGCAGAGGGUGGCGUGAAACGGAGCGGGAGUCACAUCUUCAACACCGGUAGUCAAGACGGGUACAACUUGAACAACUCGUGCCCACAUGCCAACUCGCCACCCACCUCAGCCUGAAGUUUCUGCAUGCUGCGCUUGUCCAUGAGGGUGCCCACCGGCACCGUGAAGUGGAACAGCCACUGACUAAUAAAGUUCUAUGGGCAUAUGCGCAGCAAGGAAGGUGGGGGUCAGACGUAGACUCGGAUGGGACAGUGAAUUGUGGGUCGGGGCGUAGACGGAGGACAGGUAGGCAGCACGUGCACGUGCAGGUGCAGGCAUAGAUGCAGUGGCGCCCUACCAAACAGCUUCAGUUGCCGAGCCCUUCCCCAAUCCAUCCACUCACGUGCAUGAUCAUCUUGGGCGCUGACACGAAGUCCUCUCCGUCACCCGCGCCGCCGUCGCCGCCCUCGCCCAGCCCCGUGGCCAGCACCUCGCGCGCCGCCGCCAGGUUGGCCUCCCCCGUGGACUGCAGCCCCACCACCACACACAUGCCGCGCCGGAGCGCAUCAGCCGCCAACUCGGCGCAGCGCUUCACCUGGGUGACACACACAUGCCACGUGCAUUGGGCCAAUGAGCUUGAUGUUUAUACUGUAUGUUGUAUAGGAGUUGCGGCUGUUGCGGUAAGCCAAAACUGUAUUUUCGUCAGUAAGCCGCGGCCAGCUCACAGCCGCGUGCCCAGCAUCACCCAGCCAUCUCCUCUGUCACUCCCACCUUGCUGGCUAUGAGCAUCUGCCUGUAGAAGCGCUGGUGCGCGGACCAGAACAGCGCGGCCUUGGAGUCGCGGCCGCCGCGAUUCUUGGCGGCGGCGCGCGGCAGCUGGCGCAUCACGUUCCAAAGCAGCCCCCACAGCCGGCAGCUGCGGUCGUACAUGACCCUGUGAAGAGGCGUGGCAACGCAUAAAACUGUGGCAUGCAGUGAUGGAGUCUGCAGGGCGCCGGGCCAUGCUUCCCAUGCUGCUGCGCAGUGCACACCUUGUCGCUUAAGGACAGAGCACCUCAUUCCCCCACCUGAACACGGGGUCUGGCUCCAGCUCCUCGGUGAUGAACUCGGCGCCCUUGUAGCUGAGGGUGCGGCUGACGUAGGUGCCAGUGGCCUUGAGCCCCAUGCAGAACAUCUCCAGCGCGCCCAGACCAGACCUGUGGAGGGAGGCGGGCAGGUGCAGGUUGGUGGGGUUAGAGGCGGAGGACCGCAGUGAAGGCGAAGUGUGGCCGUCUCGCUCAAGCCCCGUGCCUGGUCAGCCAUCGGUGGCAGGUAGGGAGACUGCAGCAUGGAAGGUUGACACUUGACAAUGUCACCCUCCGUAAUAGUUUGGGUGUUUAAGUCUAACAGUAGCCCUGACUUGUAUUUGUGCAGUGUUGGCAGCCUCUACAGGAACACCGCUCUCCGCCUUUCUUUCCAUGCCCUGCCCCUUCCGCUCCCCACCUCUUGAGCGCGUUGAUCAUGUCGCUGAUGUGCGGGUAGCCGAACGCACCCAGCCGCACCUGGGGACAGGAGGGGGGACAGGAAGAAGAUAUCAACGAUCCGCACACCCAACUUAUUCAUUAUGCCGCCGCGUCAGACAAGCGACCCAAGAGGCUCGGAUACAGCCGGGAACCCGAGCCUCACCAUGUACCGCAGGUUGUCCGGCUCGCUGGCCCCAGUCGCGGAGCUGUACAGUACGCGGGCGUUGGGCAGCUGGUCCUGAAGCGCCUCCACCGCCAGCCCAGUCUGGCUGGAGUCUGCGAGGACCGGUGUGCGGGCAUGUGCAGUAAGGUGGUGGCCGUGGACGGCAGGGAAGAAGCUGGUCAAGACGGGGAUUUGCGUACUGAAGAGAGGCAAGCGGAACACCAGGUCAAGCGGGUGACACGGCAGGAAAUAUGGGCUUCCGGAAGUGUUGUGAGGGGGAGGACCGCAGGUUGGGCAACUGCAGCCUCAGUGCCGCCUACAGGCACGCCAAGGUUCCCGUACGCCCCGCCCUCUUCCUCCACAGCUACUCACUCCCGGCCGCGUCCAGCAGGUUCUUGGCCUUGUGGCACUCAUCCAGAAUAAUCAGGCAGUCGCCUGAGGGCGGCCAAAUAAGGUGGUUGUAGGCGCAGGGCAAAGGCAAAGGAGGUAACAAGGGCCACCGUGGCAUCUGCACCAUGUGACCGGCAGAGGCGCACGCUUUGGGAGCAGCUGAUGAGCUCACCCUGCGCGCCAGCAGCUGUGGCAUUCCAAAGUCCAAACCCCCAUUGGCACCGCAGAUCCGCUGGCGUGCGAUCAGGCGCUAUCGCUCCCUACCCACCUCCGCCGCCCUCGCCGCCCAGCCAGCCGACGAUCUGGUGCAGGCGGCUGCCCGCGCCGAACAGCCGCCGCACCUCGGCCCGCUUCAGCUCCAGUGCGGCUGCAACAGAAGGGCGUAAGAGUGGGCUCGAGCCUAACAAGUACGUACAAGUGCCUACAGCAUGUAUGGGGAGGUGCAGCUGCAGCCACAGGUUCAGGUGAGGGAAGAGCCGCUACAAGGGUACUGUGCUGCAACAGGGCCGCGCCUGCCGUGUGGUGCUUCGACCAGACACUCACAUGCCGCUUGUCCCAUCUCGUCCGCAGUGGCGGCCGCUGCGGCCGCCGCGCCUGGAUUGCCGCCGGCGCGCCGCCCGCGGCCGCGCCCGCGGCCGCCCACACUGCCGCUGGCAGCGCCGCUGCGCGCACCGCCCCGGGCUCGUGGCCCCGGCGGCGGCUUGUAAGAGCCCUGCAAGCGGGGAUGCGGCCAUGGAAUUGUUGUAGCAUGCUUCCUGACUCAGUGGCCUAAUACUGCAACCGUCCGGCUUGUGCGUCAUCCCUGUCCUCUUGCCCAGACGGAUCAGCGGCCCCUUCCCCGUGCCUGCCCACCCCGCACCUUGGACACCAGUAGCGAGUAAGUGACGAACAGCACGCCCCCGCCCGGGUAGGCAGCGGCCAGAGAACCGGAGGGCACGUUGUCCUUGCGCUGCAAAGGAAGGCGGGGAUGGUGCGAUGAGGUAAUGAGGUGAUGGCACCGGUGUGGAUGGCUGGACGCAACUUUAAAAACCCAAAUCGGGUUUGGAUAUCCAAAGGCACCCUGCCAGCACCCACACGCUUCCACAGCCCAUUCUGUCCUCAAGCAAUCAAAGCGAAACAGCAACAGCCCCCAGCGUGCCCCUGUGCGUUUGUGUGGACAUCACUCACUGGAGGGUACACGGGUAUGUGGUCCUCAGCCACACCUAGAUCAGCCAGGUCUCGGCGGGCGUCGUAGCGCAGGUCGUUCGACGUGGACACCCACAGCACCCGCCGCCCCCCCGUGGCCCAGAACUCUUUAAUCACUGCACGAACGGUAGUUGGGGCAUGGGAAACCUUUCCUUGUUUAUAAGGGUAGGAUGUGUGUCGGCACAGGGACUACACUUGUCAAGCGCGUCCAGUGCCCAUGCUUACCAAUGCCCGUGCAACAUCCCCAUAAGCCCACCGACGUCCUUGUCUACUGCCUCCUAAACCCUGGCAUGCCCACUUACCCGCUGCGAUCUGUCGACCCUUGCCCACACCCGCGCCGUCACCCAGAAAGAAGCCCGCGCGCGAGCCUGUGGUUUUGGAAGACGCACGAGCCAGAAGAAUGUGUCAAUGAACCAGAUUACAGAGGCUCCGCGGCAAAAUGCUCACGACGAUUGUGUAACCCCAGCCAUGUGCCAGCUGUCCGCAAAGACUUUGUCCAGCGCGUUGCGCCCAAGGUUCAUGACGCUCCCCACUGCCACCGUCUCCUCCUAGGUAUUGCUGACCUCCUUCCACUUAAUCCCUUCCCUAGGCCUCACCAUCGGGCAGCCUCCUCCCGAAGCGCUGGAAGGCGUACAGCACCGUCUCCAGCUGCGCGUUGGACAGCUCGGCCCGGGCCAGGUUGUCCUGCAUGUGGGUCAAGGCGCAGUCCAUGCGUUUGACACUGGAGCAGCAGCCGCGCUUGAGAAGCGCACCGCGUGCCCUCCCGAACCAGCAUGCUCAUGCCCACUCUGCACACGUGAGAGUCUCCUGAGCACUCGCGCACCUGCAGGUGGUGGCUGUAGGUGAUGUCGGGCGGCGUCACGGACGCCAGCGAGGCCGUCUCCACGAUGGGGUCCGGGUGCGGCGGCCCCUCGAGUACCUUGGCCGGCCUGGGGGAAACCGGAAGGGCGAAGGGCGCAUCAAGUUGAGGUCAAACUCUCGUGUGCUUACGGCUGGCACGUCCCUAGGCACGCCGCACGUAGGGGGCGCCUCCACCACAGCAGGCGUGGCGGCGGUUAACCUCCCUCGUCGCCGACAAGUCCCGCCCCCGUACACGCGACACGCGCGUCCUUUCCACCCGCGACUCACUGGUACUGCUCAUAAAUGUCCACGUCACCGCCCUGCACCAGAUCAGGGUUUGGGCAGGCAGCGCGCCGGUCAAUCCAGACAAGGCAUGUGGUAUGAGGACAUUUACACGAGUGGCUCACGCUCAGACUCUGCGGACUGCCCAUGCGCUACCAUUAUGCGUUUGCACACAUGGUAUGUAAGGAAUGAGCAAUGAACUAUCGUUGUGCAAACCUGCCGACUCCAUACUCCAGUACAGGAAGCCCCGUAGCCAUAAUCCCCAGCAAUAACACCGCAUACGUGCGUACCCUCACCUCGUCGUCCGCAUUUCCCUCCUCAUGCACCUGCGCGGCUUCCUGAUGCUGCUGUGCCUCUUGCUCCCGCUCCCGCAGUUGCCGUUGCCGUGCUUCCCACUCCCGUCGUGCGUGUUCGGCUUGCUCUUGCUGCAUCCGCACCAGCCGUGCCGCAGCUUCCGCCUGUUGGGUUGCGUAGGCGCUUGCAGCCGCGCCCGCCUGCUGAGCUCCUGCAAGCGCCGGUGCUGCCGCAGCUGCUGCUCCUGCCACCCGGUUGGCGAAGGCCGACGCCGGCACGGCUUGCCGGGCUGCUGCGGCCGCGGCUGGGCCCCCAGAGCCCGGCACAGCACCUGUCACCUGGCGCUGAGCUGCCGCGAAGACCGCAGCUGCCGCCAAGGCAGCCGCCGUGUAGUUGCUGUUUCUCGAGGCACCUGCUCCAGUAGUCACCGGCUGCCUCUCAGCAGCAGGCGCAGGCGCAGGAGUGGGCGCUGGCUGAACACUUGUCGCAGCAUGACCAGCACGCUGAAGUGCCUGGGCGGUGAGCGCCCGCGCGUUGGCAUCAGCAUGGCCAAGUCGUCUGUAAUACUGGUAGACCUGGUUCCAGUACUGGUCCAUUUUGCAAGUUUGCGGGUCAUGUGCCGACCGGCAGCGUGUGUGCCUUCGCUCAGUGCGUUGCUAUAACUAGUCUACCAUUAUCGUUUGUUAGGCCGCGAAAAAGAGCAAAUCAACGGGCGGAGCGAAACCUCUUGUUCGCUUGUUCAAAUCUCAGUUCAUAAAGUUUGCAGGGCGCUGCAUUUGCAUUACUCGGAAAGUGAAUGGAAUUGUACACUAAUGACGUUAACGGCGUAAGGUAAUGAAAUUUGCAUUGGGCCUUGCCGGGCAUCGAUCCCGAGCUCUUCCCUUCGCUGGCAUCACCCCAUGCCCACACACACUGAUACCCUGUGAAGGUUGUCAACCUCCUCGGGCGUAUCCGAGCCCUCCCCUUCGCUACCAUCCCCACUAACUCUGGCUCUUGACCCUGACCCUGCACUCUGACCCUGACCCUGACUCUGACUCGUCCACCUGCCCCACUCCACCUGAACUUGAACCUGAACCUGACUCUGACCCUGAUCCUGACCCUAACCCUGCACUCUGACUAUGGCUUUUGACCCUGACUCUGACCCACCUAAAACCCUGCUACACUAACCCAGGUGGAGUGGUGCAGGUGGACGAGUCAGAGUCAGGGUCAGGGUCAGGGCCAGGGCCAGGGUCAGGGUCAGAGUGCAGGGUCAUAGUUUAGGUUUGGGGUUUGGGCAGCAGGGUCAGUGUAGCAGGGUUAGUGUAGCAGUUUUUUUGGGUGGGUCAGGGUCAGGGUGCAGGGUCAGGGUCAGAGCAGGGCAGAACGUGGUUAGGGCCCUUCUCGCCUGCGGCGGUGGUGGAGCCCCUGGAAGAUGCAAGCCCUGGGUCAGAGUGCAGGGUCAGGGUCAAGAGACACACGGAUACCCUGAUGCGGCAUUGACUCGCAGAUGGCUCCAGCAACACGUGUGCGCAUGUUGCAAAGAGACAAACCGGGCUCUCAGCCCAACACCAUGUGCCCGCGUCUCCUGUGGCAAGCCUCCUUCGUGCGAUGUGCGGUUCCCCGCGACAUGACCAGUCCAUCACGCGGCGUCAAUCACGUUUGGCUCGUAUCUUAAGAAGGCAGGCGAGAUUUCCGAAAACAGGCAUCUUUGAUUUGCAGAAACCUGGUGCCGCCGCAUCUUUCAUCCCCAAGAAAUUUUCCGGGGGCUCCGCCCCCGACCUAUGCUCGAUUCGUGUCAGGCCAGGUGUGUGUCAGGCUUGCCCUGUUGCAGCGUGCCAAAUGCAGCUGCAGUUGCCCCCGGCCCACGUUUCGGCUCAGGCACUGCUAAUAUUCUGCCGCACGGCAUUUGUCGCUGUUACAGCGUGCGGGGGGAGGUUGCUGUUGCCCCCAGCCUACGUUUCGGCUCAGGCACACCAAAAUAUUCCGCCACACGGCAUGUGCCAUGGUUUCGCCGUGCGGGGGGAGGUUGCUGUUGCCCCCAGCCUACGCUUCGGCUCAGGCACAGCAAUAUAAUCCGGGCAUGCGCCAUUGUUUCAGCGUGCGGAGGGAGGUUGCUGUUGCCCCCAGCCUACGUUUCGGCUCAGGCACAGCAUGCAAAAUAUUCCGCCGCACGGCAUGCGCCAUUGUUACAGCGUGCGGGAUGGGGUUGCUGUUGCCACGUUAACACAACGUUGCUGAAAAAAGCACCGGCUCCAUGGCUCCAUGGCAAAUCGUGGCCCAUCCCCACGCCAAACCCCAGCGCCCUCACCCAUGCUCAUCAUGCUCACUCACCCACGGCAUGACUCCCCUUGUAGAAGGCUGACCUAUCGUGGUGUGCCCCCAUGGUACCAGCAGGACACGGCCGUAGAUUAUCCUGGGAACCUCAGUCACCCUUGCCUUGGGCCGGACAAGUGACAGAAACACCCCCAAAUGUCUUCUGCGAUUCUCAGAAAGACCCUCCGAAGCCUGAAGCGUUCUGUUUAUAAGACAAGAAAAGGUGGCUCUCCCUCGCAAGGGAAAAGUGGGCUGAGCCCACGCCACGUCCUCCGUCUGAGGCCGAAGGUUCCGAUACUAGCCUCAUCUCCCGGACAUAGCCGGGGUCGGUUUGUACAGGCACCGCCCGCCAUAUGUGCCCAGUCGCGCCCAGCUAUCAAGCACUAGUGCAGCAGGCAGCAGGCCAACCAGACAGCAAGGAAAACCUCUCAACACCCUUGCCGCUGCAGCUGACUGCCCGCUACGCCAUCCUCGUCAGCACAGGUCGCUAACCAGACAACACCGGCAGGUCUCAACCUGCGCGCCGGCGCCGCUUUGAAGGCGGCGCCGCGCUGUCCUCCUCCACGUGGCCUUGCCCGCAUCCUCUGCUCCGAACAUGCGCGCCGCCACUGCCACUGCCGCUGGGCCCAGGGCCGCCCGUGCCGCCACCACCACCGGGCCCAACGCUGUGGCCGCUGCUGUUGCCGCCGGUAGGCGCGGUGCCACCACCGCCGCCACCGCCGUCUCCAGGCCCUGCACCGCCGCCACCGCCACCGCCACCGCCACCGCCGCCGCCAGGCCCUGCACCGCCACCGCCGCCAGCAGGUCGCAGGGCUGCAGGCCGCGGUUUGCCAAGCAGCAUCUCCAUCAGCGCGUGCCGCAUGUUUGUAGCCGAGUUGGCGUCGCGGCCCUGCAGUUCAACAUGCAAACAGGGCGUGUGUCAUCCCGUGUGUCACCCCGUAUCACCUCCAAACCGCCCUGUGUCAUCCCGUGUCAUCCCUUGUCAUCAUCUCCAAACCGACCUGCCGCCCCAAACCUGCCAUCCCACUUACCCACACAGUCGCCUGCGGCAGUUGGGGCGAAGCACGCCAGGGAGACGGGCCGUUCGCUGGGGGGGGGGGGCUCAGCCCAAAAAGCAAUGAUGUCCAUUGCGUUGCGGACUGCUGGCUGGUGCUGCAGUGCAUCCGGGGGGGGGGGCAGCAAGAAGGAGAGCGCUGUGAUGGCAGUGCAGUUUGGGUGUUUAGAGGCGGGUGAUGUCAGCAAACCUGCCGCACCUCGUAUCGGAGACGUGCUUGAAAAAACGCAACACGCUCAAGCGAACAUGACGUUGUAGAGCCGAGGCCAGUGAGCUAGCACAAGCAAAAAGGAAAGCGUGAGCAUGAGCAGCGACCGCAACUGCUACGUUACCUUUGACGAGAUAACCGCGCGCCAAGCUGCGCCACUCCGGCGUCCUAAAGCUUGUGACUCUCAGCUGGUGUAUACGGCUGUCAGAGGCUGGGCUGGCGUAGACUGGCCGCAGACUACCAUCGCUUCGCUCGGGGGGCUCAGCCCAAAAAUUUCUUCGGCCGGAGGCUUCUUGGGGCAAAAAGAAGGAAGAUACGAGCCCUGUGUACGCGCUGUUAGUUUACAUGCCCAUAUGCCGCGUCACCACUAUCUCCAUGUGUGCUAUACGGUACCCCGAACGCCAAAUGUCAGUACCGCAGCCAUGGCAGGUCACGCGAAUCCGGCAAAGCAGGUCUGUCGUACCGCUGCUCCUAUGACACUACUCGCAGUUCCAUAAUGCGAUGCCGGCACAGCACUCAAGCACGUGCACUCAAGCACGUGCUACUGGGUGAGGCGGCUCUCACGUUGUCUACUCAAAUGCGAUAUUCGAACAUAUCAAUGUAUUAAGGCUUUCCUCCUUCAUACCACAUGCAUGGUCCCGAAGUCAGGGCGUGGACAAUUGGAGCCAACGGGUUGCUGAUGACUUGAUGGCUGCUAACGGCGCACAAAGCCGCAUACGAUGCAAGCAGAACCACCCGGCCACGCACACGCACUCAGGUUGCCUUUGGAGGUUUCUUGCAUGGCGUCACAUCACGAGAGCCGCUCCUACCCGCCACCAGUUUCUCACAGGAGCCGGCUGACCACUCUCAUCGUCCAACCCGUCAACGGUUCCCACAAGGCCCACAACUCCAUGUGCACACCGCCACCAGCUGCUCGCUAGCGCAAGAGGCGGUCGACCGCCUCAUCAAGCUACGCCUGCAGAUGCACUGCAGGCCUGAUGGCAGGCCAGCCAGGUUGUCACACCGCCAUCGCACAAACAGUCCUGCAGGGUUUCUUCCUUGUGCGCAUGCUCGCGGUGGUGCACGCCCGCAGCUUGGCCACGAAGCCCUCGUUGCUCAUCAGCUGCACCGCCUUGUCCAGCAGCGCCUGCACCGGCAGCCCAGGCAGCCCGCGUGUCCGCGCGACCAGCUGCCGCUGCAGGUCAUCCAGGCUCCCGGGCUGCGGAUCGCGGAAGUCCUUGCUGCCGAGCGCCGCGGACAGCCACAGCAGCAGGAUUGGGAAGGCCUUGCAGUACAGCUCGUUGCCCGGCUGCCGGCCGGAAGCGGCUGCCUCCUCGUGCACUGUUGCCCACACGGCCUUGCACACGGCGUCAAAGUGCCGUUCCCAUGCUGACGGCCCCACCUGCACGUGUGGCACACGUGCAUAUGCGUAGGUGUGGGUGGAUGCAGGAUGGUGUGCGGCGGUAUCUAAAUUAAGAACACGUUGAAAGUUAUCACCAGAUUUUACCACACCUCACAUGCCAGAUGGCAUUUAUCCGCGCCACUGUCCGGGUAUGAGCGUAGUAUCGAUUGCGCGCUGGGAGAGGUUGGUGGGGGACGGAGUGGGAUGGGAUGGGGGCCCUGAAAUACUCCGGCAGGGCAUGACCGAAAGCUGGCGGUUGUAGCCCCUCCCCUCACAUUCGCCCGGUCUAGAGUAGCUACCGCAACAAACGGCGGCGGCGGCGGCGACGGUGGAGGAGCAGGAGGUCCAGCAGCACGCCGCAGCAGGCAGCUGUGGGCCUACUGGAGGCGCCGCAGCGCAACAACACCGAUUGCCAAAGCCACAGCCAGUGCGAGUGCGAGGGCUUCCUUGCGUUCGGCGGCGUGCUUGGCUGUGGCGCUGGCAAUCGAUGUUGUUGCGCUGCGGCGCCUCCAGUAGGCCCACAGCUGCCUGCUGCGGCGUGCUGCUGGACCUCCUGCUCAUCCAUCACGGCCGCCGCCGCUGCCCCCUAUGCCCCCACCGCCGCCGACGCCGCUGCCCCCAUGGCCGCUGCAUUCCGCAGCACACCUGCUGGCUGCUGAGCAUCCCCACCCGCCGGAGACCCGCCACUUGAGGCGACGGGAGACAGCAGGGGCAGCACUGCCAGAGGUGACUCCGCCUGCUGUCCUGCCUGGGCCUCGCAGUGCUGGCUGCGGACCUCACAGACGCCCGCAGAGUGUUCGGAGUUGCACCGGCGAAGACAUGACAACGAUGAAGGCCCACUCGCCCGCAGCGCAUUCAUCUCUUGCGCGCCACCAGCGCUCGCCCCCCCACAGACGGGCAAAUCAGAAAAGUCAGAAUGUCAGCAUUAGAGCUGCCUACUUCUGGAUGUAUGCAUGCUGGUUACUCCAGCACGCACGCGGCGCAGGCCGGUUGCACGCAAGGCAGCGGCGCAUCUACUGAACUAGCAAACCGUAGCAGCCAUACUCGAACGCACGGCAGUCCGCAGAGUCGUAAGCAUGACGGCAUCUGAGCUGUCCGACCUAGCCCACUCGCGUUUUAAGCAGCUCGCGUGUGCGCGCCUCCCCCUUGCUUGCUUCACCAUGUCUCUGGCCGUCGCGCGCCUCGCCUCGCUGGCCUACCUUGCAAUGCGCCAUGUCUCGCGAGGCAGCUGCGGUGGUGGCGGCGCCGCUGGCGGCAUCAACGCCAGCAGCGCAGUCGCCCCGGGCGUCCCGCGGCUGACGAACAGCAGCAGCAGCAGCGGCCGCUGCUGCCAGCGGCGGCCUGCUCCCAGCAGCAUCCGCGUUGUCCUGAGCAGGGUGGCGUGGGGGCUGCUGGUUACGGUAAGGUACCGUACUUCUUCACAAAUGCGGGCUCGACUACCAGCUGGCAUUCCGUCUGCGCCAAGAAUGCAACGGCGCUUGCCAUGCCUUGCUCCACUCACCGUGCCUCCAGCUGGAGCAGGCGGCGUUGUGGCGGGUUGGUGGGGUGGCGGCUCUNNNNNNNNNNNNNNNNNNNNNNNNNNNNNNNNNNNNNNNNNNNNNNNNNNNNNNNNNNNNNNNNNNNNNNNNNNNNNNNNNNNNNNNNNNNNNNNNNNNNCCUUGCGUUCGGCGGCGUGCUUGGCUGUGGCGCUGGCAAUCGAUGUUGUUGCGCUGCGGCGCCUCCAGUAGGCCCACAGCUGCCUGCUGCGGCGUGCUGCUGGACCUCCUGCUCAUCCAUCACGGCCGCCGCCGCUGCCCCCUAUGCCCCCACCGCCGCCGACGCCGCUGCCCCCAUGGCCGCUGCAUUCCGCAGCACACCUGCUGGCUGCUGAGCAUCCCCACCCGCCGGAGACCCGCCACUUGAGGCGACGGGAGACAGCAGGGGCAGCACUGCCAGAGGUGACUCCGCCUGCUGUCCUGCCUGGGCCUCGCAGUGCUGGCUGCGGACCUCACAGACGCCCGCAGAGUGUUCGGAGCUGCACCGGCGAAGACAUGACAACGAUGAAGGCCCACUCGCCCGCAGCGCAUUCAUCUCUUGCGCGCCACCAGCGCUCGCCCCCCCACAGACGGGCAAAUCAGAAAAGUCAGAAUGUCAGCAUUAGAGCUGCCUACUUCUGGAUGUAUGCAUGCUGGUUACUCCAGCACGCACGCGGCGCAGGCCGGUUGCACGCAAGGCAGCGGCGCAUCUACUGAACUAGCAAACCGUAGCAGCCAUACUCGAACGCACGGCAGUCCGCAGAGUCGUAAGCAUGACGGCAUCUGAGCUGUCCGACCUAGCCCACUCGCGUUUUAAGCAGCUCGCGUGUGCGCGCCUCCCCCUUGCUUGCUUCACCAUGUCUCUGGCCGUCGCGCGCCUCGCCUCGCUGGCCUACCUUGCAAUGCGCCAUGUCUCGCGAGGCAGCUGCGGUGGUGGCGGCGCCGCUGGCGGCAUCAACGCCAGCAGCGCAGUCGCCCCGGGCGUCCCGCGGCUGACGAACAGCAGCAGCAGCAGCGGCCGCUGCUGCCAGCGGCGGCCUGCUCCCAGCAGCAUCCGCGUUGUCCUGAGCAGGGUGGCGUGGGGGCUGCUGGUUACGGUAAGGUACCGUACUUCUUCACAAAUGCGGGCUCGACUACCAGCUGGCAUUCCGUCUGCGCCAAGAAUGCAACGGCGCUUGCCAUGCCUUGCUCCACUCACCGUGCCUCCAGCUGGAGCAGGCGGCGUUGUGGCGGGUUGGUGGGGUGGCGGCUCUCCGCGGCUGCUGGCGCUGGUGCACACAGCAGACACCUGCGCCGCACAGCGCGAGGGCCUGACUGGCUGCGCCGUGCUGGGGGCAGCCUGCGGGAGGCUGCAAUGAGACACGUCGCCUGCAUGUGACAGCGCCAUGGUGUCAGGGUGGCAAACCUCAGCGUUACGCGAUGUGGGAUUCAAUGGCCAGAAGCCCGGCGGCAGGGCAUAGCUGGCGCACACUGGAACCGGAACAGCUGUAUCCGCCCAGUCCACUGUCCGCCCGCCCGCCUGGCCCGCCGCACCUGACGGCGUGUCCACGUGCACCUGGUGCUGCGCCACCACCUUGACAGCGCUGUGCCCGAUGUUCACAAUGGCCUCGUCGUAGUCGCCGGCGGAACGGGCCUGAGAGGACACGUGUGUUUGUUUGCGGGCGUGCCCAGGAGGUUGGUGUCGACCAGGCUUAGCACAGGCUGGAAGCCAGGGGUGCCGAAUUGACCCGGUGUGAAGGUCUUGCGGUCGAAGUCGAUGGGGCGGCUGUAGCCCAGGUCCGCCAGCUGCACCACCAGCCCCACCACCAGCUCACCGAUGAACCUGAGCGUGACUAGCACGUUGCUGGGCUGCGGGUGGGGGCAUGGGAAGGCGGGGGAGGGUGGGGGACAGGCGGCGGGGGCGGUCAGUAAGAUAAUAGCAGACACGGCGCGCAGGCCCACAGCAUCUGUAACUCAUAAGCGAUCGCAUCACGCGUCGCACUCACCAAGGCAGUGCACAGCCCAUGCCCCCACAACCUUCCAUCACCCAGCCCCGGCUCCUCUUCCUGGCUCCUACAUUCAACUCCCUCCGUCUCACCUUCCAGUCGCGGUGUAUGACACCGCUGUCCCACAGCACCUUGCCGCCCAUCAGCAGCGGCACGGCCGCCCGCAUGGCCCAGUAGACCAUGCUGGGGCGGGGGCGGGGGAGUCAGUUCUCGAUGACUGAAAAAAAGGGGCGCGGCGGCAGUUGCAUACGGCGAGGGAUCCGGUGCUAUGCGGCAAUGCAGCCAAGCAAUGACGGCGCACACCCACGCUUGGCAAGACACGCUGCGGCAAGGCACCGUCGAAGUGACUUACACGUUGAUGAAUAGCAUGAUUGGCAUGUACGACGAGCACAGCGCCCGGAGCAUCAGGGCCCGCAGCAUGUACUGCAGGGAGUUCACACACCUUUGUUAGCUAGGUGAUGAUCAUAUCGAGCAAAUCGCUUGGGGAGGCAGAGCGGAAAGCCCGAAACGCAUCCCAGAUAGCACCAGGCCCGAGGUGCCCACAAAGUGCAGGCAGGAAGGGCAUGCCUUUAUCCUGAUCUGGGUCACCAUGGAGCCCUAUCUUUCUUGUCGGUGUAGGCGGCAAUCAAUCGGCACGCACCCAGCAGGCCAGGGAUGCGGCACAAAAUCAUACUCAACCCGUAAUCCGUGUGCACAACACGAGCGGCUACCCACCUGUAUGGUGCACGAGCAGCAUUGGCGCCACGUUGGAAGCACCGGCACCAAGACCGAGGCAUGCAUGGGGAAGGCAAGCAAGUGAGGGAGGGGUCAGAGAAGCGAUGUGCGCAAGGCACACGGGCCAGCUGGCCGUGUCGCGGGGGGUUGCGCCGCAUGGGAAAGCGUGUUGUGGCAGCGGCGACGGACCAUGACCAUGCACCAGACCACAUGUAAAGUUAGGAUCCCUCUCCGGCAGCCGCGGCCACGCCAUUGCCAGCCCUUACAUGAAAGCCUUCACACCGUGCACCCUGCCCAGCUAGCCCCCGUCCUAGCCGGCUGCCUGGACGCCUGAGUCCUGCAACGAUGGGUGGAAUCUACGAAUCCGUUGGCUGCGUCCCAGCCUACCCAAAGUGCUGCACACGAAAUCCCACCUGCAUGCUCCAGGUGCGGUGCACCUGCGUGGUCUUGGUCAGCUUCAUGACGGCCUCCACCUUGUCCGCAUCCUUACCCUUGCCCCUGCGCACCGCCUUCCCGGCAUCGUGCAACAGGUGCCGCGGCGGCAGCAUCACGCCGCCGUCCUCACAGCGCGUCACCGUCACCGCGGCCACCGUGCCCUGGCCCUGCACAGAGCAGCAAGCGGAUGACAGGGGGCAAAGUAAGAGACCACGCAGCACAACAACAAUACAGGCGGUGCGCUUACGCUCCCGAGGAGACUCCCACGCCCUUCCAACUCCGUGCAGUGUGCCAGAUAAACCAGCGCCGACUGCCGCUACGGCCAGUGGUGAUUGCCUAACUCCCGCAUGGUGACCCACUCAAUCCUUGUGUCGCAGCCCUCUAGGAAGCUUGCCCCUUCGAUCGCCCUCCUCAACCGUUUGCAUUUGACUCGGUUUAGCUUGGGCUGGCAUUUCCACCCCCCACCCCCCGGCUUCCUUGUGCUCCUACCCUCAACCGCACUCCUCAUCUGUUCUGCUCCAGAGCCCCUGAUGAAACCUGUUCAUCCGGCUUGGGCACGCAUAACCCAACCGCUCGUGUCUCCUGCUGUUGUCUACGCGCCUCGUGCGGUGACUGGGUCGUUGCCGACUCCCCCACCCUCCCAUCCCACCACCCGCCUCUCACCCCUGCUUCCAGGUCGCCGCCGAACUGAAGGUUCUCGACCUCGGGGCCGCCAUGCUUGACGAUGGCCUUGACUGCAGCCUCCACAGUGGAGGCCUCGGGCACAGACGGCAGAGACUCGGCAACCUGACCCGCGGGAGCGCGCGGCCUGGCCGGGAAGAACUGACGCACCGUCUCGAAGACCGUCAUCUGGGUAGUCUGCGCAAAAGCCCAAGGCAGUAGUGUAGCAGGGCCCACACGCAGCAGACAGUGCUCGGCAGCCGCGUUGGGGCGGGAAUGGCGGGCGGCCCAAAAGCUUCCGAGUUCCGGAAGUCUAGCCUGCGCUCGCGGCCGCAGCCGAGACUCGACCACACUCGCACUGUGCCCGCCCCUCCCCCGUUCCCGCGACCCACCCACACGCCCCUAGCUCCUCGCCAUCGUGACCCGCGAGUCUCGACGCCUCAAAUACCCGCGCAGGCCUGGCUCCAAGUCGCCUACCUGAGUGCCGCCGUUACAAGCCGCCGCCGCUAUAAGCCGCCGUGUGCGUUGUGCGCAUUCCCAGGCGCGGCAGCUUGCGAAAUCUCUGCGCAGUGGAUAGGGGCAGGAAGUCGCGGAGAAGAGCAAGCAGCAGCAACAGAAGACCCCGGCCUCAACCUUAACGCCAAGGAUGCUCCUGCGCCCACGUUCAGCAGCGACGCAACUUCAUCACCCACGCGUGCAACGCGUCUCCACGCGCACCUGAUUGCCAGCUACCGAGCCGCCUUAAUCUCACGCUCAGGUGCAGCCGCUUGGCGGGGGUCUGCGCGGCGAGGAGAGGUGAGAUUGCCGAGAGUUGUAGGAAGCAGCAGCUUCAACCAAGGGCCGCAGCACGGAGCUAGAGGCCUCCAAUCACAGGCUGCGGGGCAAAGCACUUGCCUGACUCGGCGAGGCAAAGGCACGCGCCGACUGCUGCUGAUAGAAGGAACUUGCAAUUUUGCAGCACCCGAGAAUGAAAUAGAGAGAAAGCCAAGAAAGGGCAACAUUCAAGCGGCAGGGGGAUUAGGCUUUCGUUUCCCGCCAUUUGCGAUGGCGGCGUCAUCAUACUGUAGGAGGCGAUAUACGUCUGCAGAGUGCGAGCUGCAGUGUAUGAAUUCAUUACACAGCGUUUCCUGACGCAGGCAGCUGGCGUGAGGUCAGCGGCGUAUUGUAGACGUGGCGGUGCUGGGGUUCGGCGCGGCCGGCGGGUGGGGCAGCGCGGGGGUUCCAGUCCGUUCCAGCUCGAAGGCCGGCGCGUGGCGGUGGGGGGCACCGCCACCACGCCACCGCCACGCCGCGGUUGCGGCCGCGCGCGCCGCCACCACCCCUGGCCCAAAUCUUGAACGCCCUAUUCCGCGCCAGUGCUGUGGCACCGCCUGAUGUGGCACUCGGUCCACGCACACGCGCAUUCCCUGAACGCACACGCUGUAGCUGACUGUGCAGUAGCCGCCAGUGACUGCCUCCAGCUGGAGCUGGCGGCGUUGUGGCGGGUUGGUGGGGUGGCGGCUCUCCGUGGCUGCUGGCGCUGGUGCACACAGUAGCCACCUGCGCCGGCCUGGCUGCUGGCUUGCGCGGUGUCAGUGGCCGCCUGCGGGGGAUCCGGCAGGGAACUGCUGCUAGCUGUGCGGGGGCAGGGGCCGCCUGCAAGUGACAGGACAGUUGCGUCAGGUCAUGGGUACAUAGCCCGUGAGGGCAGCACAAAGCUGAAUGGAAGCACACCUUAUGUUGCACGGCGGUGUAGCCGUUGCCCCGACCCUUGUGGAUGCCGUCCUUGUCGACGGCCCCGCCCCGAUGCACAUCUUGGCCACCACCUGCAUGUCGGCGCGCCAUUGUGCGGCAAGUUGAGGUCCAAUGUCAGUCAGUUGCAGCUGCUAGGUGCGCGUGCUGCCAUGCCAGGUUGCCAAGACCAAGCAUAGAUGCAUGCAAUGGUCGUGCGCGCAGCGUCAAACCUGUCCCUCACCCUUCCAACACGCGUACCAAUUACACUCACCUCCUGCAAGAGCGGAGCCAUACUUGCUGCAGCGCCCGGGCUCGCCCUGCACCUGCAGUCGCAUGGCACGUGGAACUCUGCGUUUGAAUCAGCCCUGCAUCUGUGUCGCGCGACACAAUGCGCUCUUGCCGCAUACAGCUGGAUGCUGGGGGUUCGACAUGCGCACCUAUAGGUCAUUCCCCCACCACACCCGUUGUGGGGACACGCACCUGGAAACCCGCCUACUCCAGGACUCGGCGUCGUGGCUUCCUUACUCAUCUUCUGCCUCCUCCUACGCAUGCAGCAAAGGUGAAUCAGCGAGUAAUCACUCACACUUGACAGGUUCAUCACAGAGCGCGGACCACUACCGGCAACAAUGCAGCCAGCGACGCGCACGCCUGUGCAUACCUUUGACAUGACGCGCCUCCACGCCUUCUCCGCCUUCUUCACUUGCACCGCCGGCUCGCCCUGCUCAGGCUGCGGCGCCAUGCCCUGCGCCGCCCGCACACCGCCCGCGGGCUGCUGCUCCGGCGCACCCUGUGGCCCAGCGCCCUUCCCCGCGUCCUCAUCUUGUGGUGUGGGGCAUGCAUCAGCAAGGGGUCACUCGUCACCACGGGCAGCACCCAAAGCCCACAUGUUCAACAACGCCUUGACUACGGAUGCAGAGCAAAGCGCAAUGUGCUCUUGGGGCUAUUCACUGUCAGGAUCUCCUAUGAAUGCACGUGUGGAGUGAUGGAGAGGGUGGAAUAGGGACGCAGCGAUCGCAGGCAGCGCACGACGCAAGGGCGGGCGCAGCAAGCGACACAGGGACCGAUGAAGCUGCCAUAAGCCCCGCCAAGUGUCCUACCCCACUGGUCCUACCCCUUGAUUCACACAAACACCCCCAAUUGUGGGCAAACCACACGUCCAUUCACGCGCCCUCACCUACAGCAGCUGGCCCAGGCAGCGCACGCGGUAGCCCUUGCCGCAGUUGCCGCACAGCAGGAUGCUGGCGGGCUCAUCGCUGGCUUUGCACAGGUUGCACAUGGCGUCAUCAGCGCCCUUCGUCGAGCUUCUCCUCCGGCUCGCUCGACGUCGGAACGCAGGCGCCUCAGCAACUCCGGCAACUGGUGCUGUCGCGCCCCAGGGACGUGCAGCUGUCUCCGUGGCUGCAGGGCCACCAUAAAACCACCUGGUCAGUCAAGGGUGGUGCAAGGCGUUGGGAACUGCCUUGCAGGAAGGUGCCAAAACCAUGUGUGUGGUCGCCGCGCUGCUAACCCUCACUCACCGCUGCCCCGUCCUUGCUUCAGCCGACCACCUUUAGCCCCGGUCUUGUGAGCCACCCCUCCUUCAGAAUUUUGCAGCGGGUUCAUUGAGUAAGGGCCCUUGAGUAAGGGCCCUGGAAAGGGAGAGCGGCGGGGAUGUUGCACAUGUUGUAAGCGCAAGGCGUGAUGUCAUAAUCUGCAAGGUUCUUUUAGUACAACAUGACCCACAACAAGUUGAGCAGGCAAUGAAGCGGCGCUUCCCGGUGGGCACCCGAAAGCCUACCUCAUUGGGCCCGGAGGGCAGCGGGUGCGCCAGCGACGAGUGCAAAGUACUUUUGAAGCCCAUACCAACUGCAAGCCCUCGCUCGUUCAGACACGAGCUGUCAGCGAGUUUGCUCCUUCAGGGCCUGCGUGAUGCCGCGCACAUAAAUGAUGUGUCUGCAUACACAGUCUAAUUUUUUUGAAUGAGUUACCUUGAACGCGCGGAGAAAGGCCCCUGCACCGUCACCGACUCAGCCUUGCAGCAUGUUGGGCGGAGCCCCGACCGGCUGCUAUGGCCAGCAACUGUUUCCUUGCUCAGCCUCAAGCUGGGCAGCGGACUGAGUCGGUCGCAGGACGUUGCCACUGGCGAUGGUUGUUAUCAUUGCCUCGCAGUAAAUAACGUACUCUUGCGGAGUUUUUUUUGUAUUUCCAGAAAUACAAUUGCAGAAGGGGCGACGAGUCAAGUGGUAGGAUGGAGGGAGGCCGGUAAGUCGCCGGUUGGAAGAGGUUGGCAGGGGGUUUGGACAGGGUUCACGAUGUCGUACGCACCCCAAACUCUGGCAGCCAGAUCCGGGAGGUGGUUAACGUGGACUUGCGUGUACUGCCUGUGCUAUGGCUGCUAGACGGCUUGGCGUCCGGGGAACGUAUUCCGGCCCUGUCCGGCCUGCUUGGCACGGCUUGGCACGCCCGGACAUGGUCCUUGGGUCAGGAGGGUAGGAAAUCCGAAAAGUUGCCGGUGGCCUCUGGAUGUAAGGGUGAGCCGGGUACCCUGCCGAGCCAAAUUUGGCUGCGUGCGCGGGGGUUUGAAGCUGCCUGGGGCGGGUCGCCGCGGCAGUCCAGAUGCCUGCGCCGGGGGAUGGCAGAUGCCUGCGCGACCCCGCGCCAUCAGCACGGAUGCCUGCGCGAGGCAUUGCAGAUGCCUCGGGCGACCCUCCCCAUCAACUCCAGGUACGUGCGUGCAUUGCUCGUGGUAGCUGUACGGCCCGUCGCCGGCACCCGAAACUGUGCAUACAACCCGGCUACCGUAGGCAAUGGUGACGGUGGAUGGCACCGUGUCAAACCCUUGGGCCCCACCGCUGACCCAAUUGACAGGCCACGGCGGUAGUUUCCGACCUUUACCGCUUCUGUGCAUAGUGAUGCAUUCAGCACGCGGAGUUGUUACAUUCUCCAGCCAUCGUGAAGCAACUGUUUGGUAAUGCCUGGCCGGCCCCCGUUGAACAGUGUUGAACCCAGCUACUGAUCUCGGGGCUCCCCCAGCAAGCUCAGAUGCGCGUGCGCGGGGGUCAGGUUGCCUCUGGAACUUAGCUGCCAGACCAGACCCACCCCGCCAGAUGCCUGCGCUAGGCAACUUUCCCACCCUCCUUUGGGUCGACCGUAUAUGCUUGCCAAGUCUGUGUAAGCACCGCGCUUUGAAUCCAGUUUAGGUUGCCGUCGUCUACUGUACAUGUAGGGAGACUAAAUACAUGCUCCCGGGCUCAAGAACGCGACGCUGUGCCUCGUGGAGACAGCCACCUUCGCGACAUGCGACGGGGAAAUGCGUUGCCAUCCUUAUGUGUCAUAGAAGCUAACCCCUAAGCAGGGGCAGGUAGUUGUGCGCGGCCUGAGCGUCAUAUCCAAGAGCCCGUUUCGCGCACGCAUCCUAGCUCGCACGGGCACGCACGUCCGGCGGCUCGCCGAAGACAUUGUCCCGCAACAGGGGGCAGGCCAUUCUCUUAAACCACCACCACCACCACCGCCACAACCACCUACUUCCUGCGGUUCUACUUCCUGCGGUAUUCUUGCGUGUAGUGCUUCUGGCACCAGCCCCGGCAAAAGAUCGGCUUGCCGCACACAGCGAGCGCAGCCACCGCCACGGCGCGGAGGGGGGGGGGGCAGUGACCACGGUCUUACGCUUCUUCCAUCCCUUGGCUGCACGGUCCACCACGGGCCACCGCUACCUAGGAAUGCGUCGCCGAGCGACAGCCUGAGCUGCUGCACCAUCUAUAAAAAACCUGGGGGGAAGAUAUUUCGUAGGGAGAGGCAGCGUACAAGUUGCCGUUGAUGGGACGCCGGCUGACUGUGCCGGAGCAAUGGGGGCGCAGUAGCAGAGGCUGGCGGCGGCUGCGGUCCUCCGCCAAACUCACACACAGUCCCGCGGAGCAACAUGUGUGGACAUGAUUUUGCCCCACUCCAGACCGGCGUCAUACCCGUGUGCGCCAUACCCGUGUGCGGGCAACCUUCCAAUCCAGGUGCUGGUCCCCUCGCUCGCCAGCAAACACAUCAACCCGUUCUGACCUCGU